Molecule: ribosomal RNA, 99 nt
Filed under: Ricinus communis (castor bean)
Lineage: Eukaryota; Viridiplantae; Streptophyta; Magnoliopsida; Malpighiales; Euphorbiaceae
Description: 5.8S ribosomal RNA
Rfam family: 5.8S ribosomal RNA
About the family: 5.8S ribosomal RNA (5.8S rRNA) is a component of the large subunit of the eukaryotic ribosome. It is transcribed by RNA polymerase I as part of the 45S precursor that also contains 18S and 28S rRNA.
Source: Rfam by way of RNAcentral
GAUACUUGGUGUGAUUGCAGAAUCCCGUGAAUCAUCGAGUUUUUGAACGCAAGUUGCGCCCGAAGCCUUUCGGCCGAGGGCACGCCUGCCUGGGUGUCA